UGUGGCCAUUGAGCACUUGAAAUACGGCUCAUCUGAACUGAUGUGCUGUAAAUGCACAACACACUGGAUUUUGAAGUGUAAUGAGAAGAUGGGUGUUUCUGUGUUGCCCAAGCUGGAGUUCGGUGGUUAUUCAUAGGCACGAUCAUAAUGCAUUACAGCCUUGAACUCCUGGGCUUAAGCGAACCUCCCACCUCAACCUGCUGAGUAGCUGGGACUAUAGUACACAGAGAUGUAAGACUUGGUCGUUAUCCAUGAGGAACUCCUGGUUAAUGAAGGAGCAGGCAGACCAACAAGGAGGAGACACACAGUGCUAGGCAGGAUGUGAGGU
Non-coding RNA from Microcebus murinus (gray mouse lemur), 328 nucleotides. NCBI's taxonomy places the organism in Eukaryota, Metazoa, Chordata, Mammalia, Primates, Cheirogaleidae. The record is from RefSeq and is a predicted model, not a curated record.